AUUGAACGCUGGCGGCAUGCCUUACACAUGCAAGUCGAACGGCAGCGCGGGGCAACCUGGCGGCGAGUGGCGAACGGGUGAGUAAUAUAUCGGAACAUACCCUAGAGUGGGGGAUAACGUAGCGAAAGUUACGCUAAUACCGCAUACGCACUAAGGUGGAAAGUGGGGGAUCUUCGGACCUCAUGCUCAUGGAGUGGCCGAUAUCUGAUUAGCUAGUUGGUGAGGUAAAGGCUCACCAAGGCGACGAUCAGUAGCUGGUUUGAGAGAACGACCAGCCACACUGGAACUGAGACACGGUCCAGACUCCUACGGGAGGCAGCAGUGGGGAAUUUUGGACAAUGGGGGCAACCCUGAUCCAGCAAUGCCGCGUGAGUGAAGAAGGCCUUCGGGUUGUAAAGACUCUUUGUCUAGGGAGAAACGGUGAGUCUAAUAAAGACUUGCUAAUGACGGUACCUGAAGAAUAAGCACCGGCGUAACUACGUGCCAGCAGCCGCGGUAAU
This 500-nucleotide ribosomal RNA is filed under the name uncultured bacterium. RNAcentral's name for it is "bacterial SSU rRNA". It matches the Rfam family "Bacterial small subunit ribosomal RNA", at positions 30 to 524 of the family's 1533-position model. The record is from RNAcentral.